GACGAACGCUGGCGGCGUGCUUAACACAUGCAAGUCGAACGGAAAGGCCCUGCUUUUGUGGGGUGCUCGAGUGGCGAACGGGUGAGUAACACGUGAGUAACCUGCCCUUGACUUUGGGAUAACUUCAGGAAACUGGGGCUAAUACCGGAUAGGAGCUCCUGCUGCAUGGUGGGGGUUGGAAAGUUUCGGCGGUUGGGGAUGGACUCGCGGCUUAUCAGCUUGUUGGUGGGGUAGUGGCUUACCAAGGCUUUGACGGGUAGCCGGCCUGAGAGGGUGACCGGCCACAUUGGGACUGAGAUACGGCCCAGACUCCUACGGGAGGCAGCAGUGGGGAAUAUUGCACAAUGGGCGGAAGCCUGAUGCAGCAACGCCGCGUGCGGGAUGACGGCCUUCGGGUUGUAAACCGCUUUCGCCUGUGACGAAGCGUGAGUGACGGUAAUGGGUAAAGAAGCACCGGCUAACUACGUGCCAGCAGCCGCGGUGAUACGUAGGGUGCGAGCGUUGUCCGGAUUUAUUGGGCGUAAAGGGCUCGUAGGUGGUUGAUCGCGUCGGAAGUGUAAUCUUGGGGCUUAACCCUGAGCGUGCUUUCGAUACGGGUUGACUUGAGGAAGGUGGGGGAGAAUGGAAUUCCUGGUGGAGCGGUGGAAUGCGCAGAUAUCAGGAGGAACACCAGUGGCGAAGGCGGUUCUCUGGGCCUUUCCUGACGCUGAGGAGCGAAAGCGUGGGGAGCGAACAGGCUUAGAUACCCUGGUAGUCCACGCUGUAAACGGUGGGUACUAGGUGUGGGGUCCAUUCCACGGGUUCCGUGCCGUAGCUAACGCUUUAAGUACCCCGCCUGGGGAGUACGGCCGCAAGGCUAAAACUCAAAGGAAUUGACGGGGCCCCGCACAAGUGGCGGAGCAUGCGGAUUAAUUCGAUGCAACGCGUAGAACCUUACCUGGGUUUGACAUGGAUCGGGAGUGCUCAGAGAUGGGUGUGCCUCUUUUGGGGUCGGUUCACAGGUGGUGCAUGGCUGUCGUCAGCUCGUGUCGUGAGAUGUUGGGUUAAGUCCCGCAACGAGCGCAACCCUUGUUCACUGUUGCCAGCACGUUAUGGUGGGGACUCAGUGGAGACCGCCGGGGUCAACUCGGAGGAAGGUGGGGAUGACGUCAAGUCAUCAUGCCCCUUAUGUCCAGGGCUUCACGCAUGCUACAAUGGCUGGUACAGAGAGUGGCGAGCCUGUGAGGGUGAGCGAAUCUCGGAAAGCCGGUCUCAGUUCGGAUUGGGGUCUGCAACUCGACCUCAUGAAGUCGGAGUCGCUAGUAAUCGCAGAUCAGCAACGCUGCGGUGAAUACGUUCCCGGGGCUUGUACACACCGCCCGUCAAGUCAUGAAAGUUGGUAACACCCGAAGCCGGUGGCCUAACCGUUGUGGGGGAGCCGUCGAAGGU
Molecule: ribosomal RNA, 1428 nt
Filed under: uncultured organism
Description: 16S ribosomal RNA
Rfam family: Bacterial small subunit ribosomal RNA
Source: RNAcentral